Molecule: ribosomal RNA, 444 nt
Filed under: uncultured prokaryote
Description: bacterial SSU rRNA
Rfam family: Bacterial small subunit ribosomal RNA
Source: RNAcentral
UGCGGAAUCUUGCGCAAUGGGGGCAACCCUGACGCAGCCACGCCGCGUGCUGGAAGACGGCCCUAUGGGUUGUAAACAGCUUUUGGGCGGGAAGAACCCGGGAUGUUCGCAUCCCGCUGACGGUACCGCCCGAAUAAGCACCGGCUAACUCCGUGGCAGCAGCCGCGGUAAUACGGAGGGUGCAAGCGUUGUCCGGAAUUAUUCGGUGUAAAGGGUGCGCAGGCGUCCCGGCAUGUUUUCGGUGAAAUCCUCCCGCUUAACGGGAGAAGGGCCGGAAAAACGGCCGGGAUUGAGUCCGGAAGAGGCCAGUGGAAUUGGUGGUGUAGCGGUGAAAUGCAUAGAGAUCACCAAGAACGCCAGUGGCGAAGGCGGCUGGCUGGUCCGGCACUGACGCUGAGGCACGAGAGCGUGGGGAGCGAACAGGAUUAGAUACCCCCGUAGUCC